GCUGCAGGGCAGGGGCAAUCUCAGAGAGCCCCAUGGCUGUGUUAAGGGAGUCUCCUCCCUGAAGUCUGUUCAGGGUGACGAAUGUGAGCAUGAGGAGGAACCUCUUUGGAGUGUUCUCCUUUCCCAGAACUAAUUGAGCUAGAAGACAGACGUCCCUGUGGAGCAAGUGAAAGCCUAUGAGAGGUUUGAUGCUGAUGCAGCCUGAUCUACCUGGUGCUGGCCAAAUGCAAGACAUGGGAAACACUAAGGCUUCCUGCUCCUCAGAGUCUCUCUGCUGAUUGGAUGAGCUGGGGGAGAGGCCAGUGACAGGUUUUGCCUGAGCAAACAAUGCAGGAUUUAGCUGUAAAACACAAACUGACAUCCGAUGAUAGACUUCAGAUAGAAAAUUAGAUCAGUGAUGUUAUUGCAUCUAAGUGAGGAAUGAAAGGGUGGCAGCAGUGAACUCAAUCAAUGAACUAGAAACUGCCACAUGGGAUCAGACCUAUUAUCCAUCAGAUCCACUGUGCUUUUUCUCAUCGAGGCGAUUACCAGAUGCUCCAGAGGAAAGUGAAAAUCCUCCCAGAGUAGACAAGUUUGGGAUAACUUGAUUUUCAUGAAGGACUCCGCCAACUCCUAAGAGUUAGAAAAUGGGACAGCACCUUCCAAUGUAAAUUGGCUGAUGUCACUAGGCAGUGGUUGAUCUGAUUUAGCCCCUCAAAAAAAAGUCGUGGAGAUUUUUGGUGCUUCAGGGGUGAGACUCCACUACCUGUGGAUCAAUGCUGUGGCGAUCGAUCCACUCAAAGUCAAUUUAGCAGGUCUAGUGAAGACUCACUAACUUGAUUGCCGAACGCACUCCUGUCAACUGUAAUACUCCACUGCAGAGAAAAGCUUAAGGUAGAUGUAUGGGAGAGUUUCUUCCGUCAACUCUGCACAGUGUAGACACCACAAUAAAUCGGUCUAAGUUACAUCGACUCGGGCAAUGGUAUUCACAUAUCUGAAGUUGUGUAAAUUAGGUUGACUUUACUCCAUUGUGCAGACUUACCUUCAGACGUUACAUUUCCAGUAAAGCAGCAUAUAUGGGUGAAAUCUCAUUUUGGAAACAAUGUACCAAUUUGCUCUGUGUGACACUCACCUAAUAAAAGACAGCAUUUGUGAACUGGGAUUGAAUGUUGUAGCAUGAGUAACUUGGAAACACCUUUUAUUGAAAGGAUCUGCCUUAGUCCAGCACAGAUUUUAUUGUCAUUGAUCCUUGCUGAAUAACUCAUCAACAAGACUGGGAUGAAAGUGCCCAGUAUAGUGACAGACAAAAACAGCUGUACCUGAGAAAAUGUGUUUUCUGGGAG
Non-coding RNA from Pelodiscus sinensis (Chinese soft-shelled turtle), 1322 nucleotides. The record is from RefSeq and is a predicted model, not a curated record. NCBI's taxonomy places the organism in Eukaryota, Metazoa, Chordata, Testudines, Trionychidae.